RNAcentral lists this ribosomal RNA (552 nucleotides) under uncultured archaeon. RNAcentral's name for it is "bacterial SSU rRNA". It matches the Rfam family "Archaeal small subunit ribosomal RNA", at positions 325 to 879 of the family's 1478-position model. The record is from RNAcentral.
UCGGGGUGCGCAGGCGCGAAAACUUUACAAUGCGGGAAACCGUGAUAAGGGGACACCGAGUGCCAGCAUCAUAUGCUGGCUGUCCAGGUGUGUAAAAUACACCUGUUAGCAAGGGCCGGGCAAGACCGGUGCCAGCCGCCGCGGUAACACCGGCGGCCCGAGUGGUGAUCGUGAUUAUUGGGUCUAAAGGGUCCGUAGCCGGUUUGGUCAGUCCUCCGGGAAAUCUGACGGCUCAACCGUUAGGCUUUCGGGGGAUACUGCCAGGCUUGGAACCGGGAGAGGUAAGAGGUACUACAGGGGUAGGAGUGAAAUCUUGUAAUCCCUGUGAGACCACCUGUGGCGAAGGCGUCUUACCAGAACGGGUUCGACGGUGAGGGACGAAAGCUGGGGCACGAACCGGAUUAGAUACCCGGGUAGUCCCAGCCGUAAACGAUGCUCGCUAGGUGUCAGGCAUGGCGCGACCGUGUCUGGUGCCGCAGGGAAGCCGUGAAGCGAGCCACCUGGGAAGUACGGCCGCAAGGCUGAAACUUAAAGGAAUUGGCGGGGGAGCAC